This 352-nucleotide ribosomal RNA is filed under the name Exallopus sp. Seep. RNAcentral describes it as "partial 16S ribosomal RNA". Lineage: Eukaryota; Metazoa; Annelida; Polychaeta; Eunicida; Dorvilleidae. The record is from RNAcentral.
UUGCGCUAAGGUAGCAUAAUAACUUGCCUCUUAAUUAGGGACUAGAAUGAAUGGAUUUUCGAAAAAUAUCUGUUUCGAGCUUUUGUAUAAAAAUUAUUAUUUGAAUGAAAAAUUUCAAAUUUUGUAAAAAGACCAAAAGACCCUAUCGAGCUAUAAUGAGUUAUAUUUAUAUAUACCUUUUUGAAAAUUGGGGUGAUUGAAGAUAAGUUUCAUCUUUAAGUUAAAUAUAAAAUAUAAUUUUACCUAAAAUAUACAUAAAAAGUUACCGUAGGGAUAACAGGCUAGUCAAUUUUGAAAGUUCACAUUUACAAAUUGUUUUAGCACCUCGAUGUUGGCUUAAAAUUACUUAAAA